GGGCCUAUAGCUCAGCUGGUUAGAGCACCUGACUCAUAAUCAGGGGGUCCCUGGUUCGAGCCCAGGUGGGCCCA
Molecule: transfer RNA, 74 nt
Filed under: Hydrotalea flava
Lineage: Bacteria; Pseudomonadati; Bacteroidota; Chitinophagia; Chitinophagales; Chitinophagaceae
Also listed under: 5 other names
Description: tRNA-Ile
Rfam family: tRNA
About the family: Transfer RNA (tRNA) molecules are approximately 80 nucleotides in length. Their secondary structure includes four short double-helical elements and three loops (D, anti-codon, and T loops).
Source: RNAcentral